GGGUCGGUGGCGUAGUUGGUUAUCGCAUCUGUCUAACACAAUAGGUGGUGCACAGAAGGUCCUCAGUUCGAGCCUGGGCCGACUCA
Non-coding RNA from Trametes versicolor FP-101664 SS1, 86 nucleotides. The record is from the annotation of a RefSeq genome assembly. NCBI's taxonomy places the organism in Eukaryota, Fungi, Basidiomycota, Agaricomycetes, Polyporales, Polyporaceae.